UGGGGAAUAUUGCACAAUGGAGGGAACUCUGAUGCAGCGACGCCGCGUGAACGAAGAAGGCUUUCGAGUCGUAAAGUUCUUUUAUAUGGGAAGAUAAUGACGGUACCAUAAGAAAAAGCCCCGGCUAACUACGUGCCAGCAGCCGCGGUAAUACGUAGGGGGCUAGAGUUGUCCGGAAUCACUUGGCGUAAAGGGUUCGCAGGCGGAAAUGCAAGUCAGGUGUAAAAGGCAGUAGCUUAACUACUGUAAGCAUUUGAAACUGCAUAUCUUGAGAGGAGUAGAGGUAAGUGGAAUUUUUAGUGUAGCGGUGAAAUGCGUAGAUAUUAAAAAGAAUACCGGUGGCGAAGGCGACUUACUGGGCUCAUUCUGACGCUGAGGAACGAAAGCGUGGGUAGCAAACAGG
RNAcentral lists this ribosomal RNA (403 nucleotides) under Fusobacteriota bacterium. RNAcentral describes it as "Fusobacteria bacterium partial 16S ribosomal RNA". It matches the Rfam family "Bacterial small subunit ribosomal RNA", at positions 355 to 776 of the family's 1533-position model. The record is from RNAcentral. Lineage: Bacteria; Fusobacteriati; Fusobacteriota.